Molecule: non-coding RNA, 173 nt
Filed under: chicken gut metagenome
Description: Lysine riboswitch
Rfam family: Lysine riboswitch aptamer
About the family: Riboswitches are metabolite binding domains within certain messenger RNAs that serve as precision sensors for their corresponding targets. Allosteric rearrangement of mRNA structure is mediated by ligand binding, and this results in modulation of gene expression.
Source: RNAcentral
AAAAGAGGAGCGGCAGAACAUGAGUACCGCGCGCCGAGAAGAUGGUUAAGGGAUCUUUGCACAAAGCGCACGCAAAAGGGUAUCGCCGCCGAAGCGCAGCAGGACCUUGGCGCUGCGCUGGGAGUACGGGAGAAUACCCGCAGUCCUGUCACCGCCACGGUGAAGCGCUUUUU